AUGUAGCUGACGAGCCUCAUAUAGGACAAAACGCGCGUCCUGCAU
RNAcentral lists this non-coding RNA (45 nucleotides) under Schistosoma haematobium. The record is from RNAcentral. Lineage: Eukaryota; Metazoa; Platyhelminthes; Trematoda; Strigeidida; Schistosomatidae.